Molecule: ribosomal RNA, 425 nt
Filed under: uncultured bacterium
Lineage: Bacteria
Description: bacterial SSU rRNA
Rfam family: Bacterial small subunit ribosomal RNA
Source: RNAcentral
GGGGAAUUUUGGACAAUGGGCGCAAGCCUGAUCCAGCCAUGCCGCGUGUCUGAAGAAGGCCUUCGGGUUGUAAAGGACUUUUGUUAGGGAGCAAGUCCUGCAGGUUAAGAGCUAGUAGGGAUGAGAGUACCUAAAGAAUAAGCACCGGCUAACUACGUGCCAGCAGCCGCGGUAAUACGUAGGGUGCAAGCGUUAAUCGGAAUUACUGGGCGUAAAGGGUGCGCAGGCGGUAUUGUAAGCCAGAUGUGAAAUCCCCGGGCUCAACCUGGGAACUGCGUUUGGAACUGCAAUGCUAGAGUGUGUCAGAGGGGGGUGGAAUUCCACGUGUAGCAGUGAAAUGCGUAGAGAUGUGGAGGAACACCGAUGGCGAAGGCAGCCCCCUGGGAUAACACUGACGCUCAGGCACGAAAGCGUGGGGAGCAAAC